ACAGGAGUAGGGUAAUACGCGUUAAGUGCCAUUGGAACGGAAUGUGAACUUUGGACGAAGAGCUUUUCUCGCGAUGUUUUACCCGCAUUCGCCCUU
This 96-nucleotide non-coding RNA is filed under the name Apilactobacillus ozensis. RNAcentral describes it as "Lactobacillus ozensis THF-I sequence". It matches the Rfam family "THF (Tetrahydrofolate) riboswitch aptamer". From Rfam's summary of the family: THF riboswitch presents a pseudoknot that joins P1-P2 and the loop of P3 and two THF binding. Lineage: Bacteria; Bacillati; Bacillota; Bacilli; Lactobacillales; Lactobacillaceae. The record is from RNAcentral. RNAcentral also lists the same sequence under 1 other name.